CGGCGGACGGGUGAGUAACGCGUGGGUAACCUGCCUUACACUGGGGGAUAACAGUUAGAAAUGACUGCUAAUACCGCAUAAGCGCACAGGGCCGCAUGGCCUGGUGUGAAAAACUCCGGUGGUGUAAGAUGGACCCGCGUCUGAUUAGGUAGUUGGUGGGGUAACGGCCCACCAAGCCGACGAUCAGUAGCCGACCUGAGAGGGUGACCGGCCACAUUGGGACUGAGACACGGCCCAA
Molecule: ribosomal RNA, 238 nt
Filed under: uncultured bacterium
Lineage: Bacteria
Description: partial 16S ribosomal RNA
Rfam family: Bacterial small subunit ribosomal RNA
Source: RNAcentral